GCACGCAUAGCUCAGCGGUAGAGCGCUGCAUUCACAUUGCAGAAGUCUCUGGUCCGAAUCCAGAUGCGUGCA
RNAcentral lists this transfer RNA (72 nucleotides) under Candidatus Levyibacteriota bacterium. RNAcentral's name for it is "tRNA-Val". It matches the Rfam family "tRNA". Rfam says of the family: Transfer RNA (tRNA) molecules are approximately 80 nucleotides in length. Lineage: Bacteria; Candidatus Levyibacteriota. The record is from RNAcentral.